RNAcentral lists this ribosomal RNA (668 nucleotides) under uncultured bacterium. RNAcentral describes it as "bacterial SSU rRNA". It matches the Rfam family "Bacterial small subunit ribosomal RNA", at positions 79 to 741 of the family's 1533-position model. The record is from RNAcentral.
GCUACUCUGCUGACGAGCGGCGGACGGGUGAGUAAUGCCUAGGAAUCUGCCUAGUAGUGGGGGAUAACUUGCCGAAAGGUAAGCUAAUACCGCAUACGUCCUACGGGAGAAAGCAGGGGACUCUUCGGAGCCUUGCGCUAUUAGAUGAGCCUAGGUCGGAUUAGUUAGUUGGUGAGGUAAUGGCUCACCAAGACAGCGAUCCGUAACUGGUCUGAGAGGAUGAUCAGUCACACUGGAACUGAGACACGGCCCAGACUCCUACGGGAGGCAGCAGUGGGGAAUAUUGCACAAUGGGGGAAACCCUGAUGCAGCCAUGCCGCGUGUGUGAAGAAGGCCUUCGGGUUGUAAAGCACUUUCAGUGGUGAGGAAAGGUAGAAGCUUAAUACGUUUUUACUGUGACGUUAACCACAGAAGAAGCACCGGCUAACUUCGUGCCAGCAGCCGCGGUAAUACGAGGGGUGCAAGCGUUAAUCGGAAUAACUGGGCGUAAAGCGCACGCAGGCGGUUUGUUAAGCCAGAUGUGAAAGCCCCGAGCUCAACUCGGGAACUGCAUUUGGAACUGGCAAACUAGAGUCUUGUAGAGGGGGGUAGAAUUUCCAGUGUAGCGGUGAAAUGCGUAGAGAUUGGAAGGAAUACCAGUGGCGAAGGCGGCCCCCUGGACAAAGACU